RNAcentral lists this ribosomal RNA (206 nucleotides) under uncultured bacterium. RNAcentral's name for it is "partial 16S ribosomal RNA". It matches the Rfam family "Bacterial small subunit ribosomal RNA", at positions 570 to 775 of the family's 1533-position model. The record is from RNAcentral.
CGCAGGCGGUCGUUCAAGUCGCGUGUGAAAGCCCCCGGCUCAACUGGGGAGGGUCACGCGAUACUGAUCGACUCGAAGGCAGGAGAGGGUAGUGGAAUUCCCGGUGUAGUGGUGAAAUGCGUAGAUAUCGGGAGGAACACCAGUGGCGAAGGCGACUACCUGGCCUGUUCUUGACGCUGAGGCGCGAAAGCUAGGGGAGGCAAACG